Molecule: ribosomal RNA, 450 nt
Filed under: uncultured bacterium
Lineage: Bacteria
Description: partial 16S ribosomal RNA
Rfam family: Bacterial small subunit ribosomal RNA
Source: RNAcentral
GUGGGGAAUAUUGGACAAUGGGCGAAAGCCUGAUCCAGCCAUGCCGCGUGUGUGAAGAAGGUCUUCGGAUUGUAAAGCACUUUAAGUUGGGAGGAAGGGCAGUAAGUUAAUACCUUGCUGUUUUGACGUUACCGACAGAAUAAGCACCGGCUAACUUCGUGCCAGCAGCCGCGGUAAUACGAAGGGUGCAAGCGUUAAUCGGAAUUACUGGUCGUAAAGCGCGCGGAGGUGGUUUUGUAAGUUGGAGGUGAAAUCCCCGGGCUCAACCUGGGAACUGCCUCCAAAACUGCAUGACUAGAGUACAGUAGAGGGUAGUGGAAUUUCCUGUGUAGCGGUGAAAUGCGUAGAUAUAGGAAGGAACACCAGUGGCGAAGGCGACUACCUGGACUGAUACUGACACUGAGGUGCGAAAGCGUGGGGAGCAAACAGGAUUAGAAACCCUGGUAGUCC